CGGCGGGCUGGCGGGGAGGAGGAGAGGAGAUGGCUCCUCGGAAGGACCCUUGUGCACAGCCGGUCACUCGAGGAGGCAGAGUGAGCCGAGCUGCUUUUUAUUGCGAUGAUCUAAGUUUGUUGUGUGAUUAACUGGAAAGAUCUGGGUCCCAACUCCCUCUUACGGCAGGACCCUCAACCAUGGCUGUUUAAGCAGGACUCCUGCUGCCCCAUAGCCAGGAACAAAGCAAGACCGUUUCCUGGUUAAGAAGCACAACUUUCCUCCGACCUGUCCGUGGCUCCCCCUUGGCCACUGGCCUGGCCUUUCCAUCACCCUCUUUGGCCAUCUGACAAGUGCCACUUCCCCAAAAUUGUGGCAACUCUGGGGAAUCUAAAGUUCAAGUAUCAGCUGGCUGGUGUUUCUCUGUGGAGACAAACCGCAGUCCAAAGCGAGGCCUGACCUUCCUUCUAUUGCUGGCAAAAUGACUCUAAUUCUUCUAUUGCGCUUCCUUUUAACUUCAUGGAAGAAAUGGCGUUGGAGUUUGUUUAAAAGCAUGAGACCGGCCUUCGCUACAUGUUUGUUUAGAGCAUCUGAAGUGCAGAAGUCACAGACUGGGUGAAAAAGGAAUGAGAUAUUUACUACCAGUUAGUCUCUGGAACAAGACCAUCAAAAUUAAAUGAGAGGGGAAAAAAAAAAAAAAAAGAAAGAAAAAGAAAGAGGAAUGAGGCCAGAUGUUCAUUGGUAAGGCAGUUGAGAAGGAGACUUAUCAGUUCAUUUGAGCAAGACAAAGUCUGAGAAAAUGGCUGCUAUGUGGAUACAUACAUAGUUAGGCCAGUAAACAUUUCAGUUUGUUUUGG
Molecule: long non-coding RNA, 836 nt
Filed under: Anser brachyrhynchus (Pink-footed goose)
Lineage: Eukaryota; Metazoa; Chordata; Aves; Anseriformes; Anatidae
Description: lncRNA (ENSABRG00000014175.1)
Source: RNAcentral